RNAcentral lists this long non-coding RNA (28473 nucleotides) under Cricetulus griseus (Chinese hamster). Its description in RNAcentral is "lncRNA (ENSCGRG00015042840.1)". The record is from RNAcentral. Lineage: Eukaryota; Metazoa; Chordata; Mammalia; Rodentia; Cricetidae.
CAGAGAGGUAGCAGGAACGAGAGCAAACACCAGGAUUAUGCCAUCAGCUACAUGGGAAUGAAGACCCUCUCGUUCACAGGCCAGCUACUUUGCAGCUUCAGAUGUUCUCUGAGGAGUGUAUCUGGGCCCCUUAGUUUGCAGAACAGGGAGCCUUCCAACCACAUUGUCAGAGACUGAGACACGCAUCCUCAGAAUUACAAAGAAGACAAGGCUACCAUUGUCGCUAAACCUGUUACUCUUUCCUGGUCCCAGUUCUCACUGCGUCACCCCAAAUUUGUCAAGUACUUACUUCACCUCUGGGGUAACUGGAAAAUGCUGCUUAUAACUAAACAUCUGGCUUGGAGAUGUGGACCAGUAUGGGGACCCUUUCAACUUCUGAGGGCUUAGCAUGUCACUGUCCCAGCAGACCAACAACCAUGUAUCAUGAAAUUAUUUGAGGGUGUCAUAGGUUGAUCCCCUAUGAUCAGAAAACAGGAGCUUUAUUAAGGACAGUAUUUAGGAACAAUAUCUGGAAAGGACAGAUAACACAGGUUCAGGCAAAAAGACCAACUGAACAGCAACAUGACAGUGUCAGUUUAUCCUCUGGAGAACUCUGGAGCUGGGUUAACCCCUCCAGGGCAUCCCACCUUGAGACUGCCCUCCCCACAACUACCAGUCAUUGAGAUCUGAGGAGUUGGGGCUUGAGGCUUGGGGUAACUUGGGCUGAGAGCAAUGCCCAGGCUCAAUGAAGAGCCAUAAGUAGCCAUCACUCUUAGUACCUUGGUGUGGUGGUUGAUAUUGAUUGUCAAUUUGACAGGACUUAGAGCCAUUGAGGAGACAAAUCUUUGGGCAUAUCUGUGAUGGAUUUUCUAGACUGGGCUAAUGGAGAUGGGAAGGCCCAUACUAUAUGUUGCCAGUGCCGUUCAAAGGCUGGAGUUCCAGAGGAAAUGAGAGAAGACAACGUUAGCAUCAGCAUCCGUCUCUCUCUGCCUUUUGACUACAGAUGCCACCUAAUCUUGCCAUCCUGCCUUCAUGAUGUAUCUUGUUGGACUUAAACAUCAUGGUAGACUGUUCCCUCAAACUGUGGGCCAAAGCAAAUCCUCCUUCCUAAAUUGUUUUUGUAAUGUAUUUUUUUUCACAGUAACAAGAAAGAAACUAAUAAUCUGGAAGAAUGAGUCUCUCAUUUGCAAAGAAUGAAGGACCAAGCAGACUACAGGCACAGUCUCCUGCAGGAUGGCCUUGAUGGAGGCACAGGAAACUUGGCUCUAUGAAGUGAAGAGCUCAUCCAGAUGACAUUAUUCGUGUCCUUGUGUGAAUUAGUGCCUUAGCCAGUGAUGCGUCCCAGAAACCUGAGGGAGAGCUCUGCCUGUCUCCAGCAGUGCUGGAGGGAUGACGAAUUUAUUCCACACCGAUGUUUAUUUGGAUUCUGCCACACUCUUCUGCGGCAUUUAAUUGUCAUGGACAUCAUGUAGCAGGAGGCAGCUGAGAGAUGGAAAUGAGCUCCCAAUUUGUCUUUGGAAAAUUUUCUCCAUUAUGAGCCUAGAAAGAUUAAAGGGAUAAUAACACCUUAUACCCAUAUCAUGCUUUCCUCCCAGCAAAGAGCUUUCAUAUGCACAUUAUCUUAUUUGAGCCUUGCCAUAGUCCUGUGGGAUAGUUAUAAUUGGAAUUAUUAUUCAUUUUAUGGGUAAAAUAACCCUCUAACUAUGGAAACUUAUGCCAUCUCCUUAUUCAUUUUUAUUUGUAUUUUUUAUUAACCAAUAACAUUUCCAUUGUAUCAGAAUUCAAGAAAGGGGUUGGAGAGAUGGCCCAGCAGGUAGGAGUACACACUGGUCUUGCCCAGGACCUCAACUAGGUUCCCAGUACCAAUAUCCAGGAAAUCACAGUCUCCUAACCCCAGCACCAGGGGGUCUCCAUCAUCUCUGACCCCACCAUGGCACCUUCACUCACACACACACACACACACACACACACACACACACACACACACACACAAGCACAUACAGCAAUUGAAAAAUAAAAUAAGGUUUUAAAGAUUUGGGGGUCUAUUGAAAUGACUCAGCAGUUAAGAGCACUUACUGCUCUUGCAUGGAGUCUAGAUUUAGUUCCCAGCACUCACAUGGCAGCUCACAACUGUCUACAACUCAAAUUCCAGGGUAUCUGGUGCCUUUCUCUGUCUACCUCUGUGGGCUCCUCCAUAAACUCAUACAAGCACACGCACAUUAAAGAGAUAAAUAAAUAAACACACAUUUUCUUGAAAUCCAAGAACGGCAAAUGAAGCGUAAUGGCAACUAGAGAACUCCCAUUUUCAGCCCUGUUUUAGAACAUCUUUUUCCCAGUGCUGCAUUCACAAUGCUCGAGUUAAGUAAGACACUGACAUUAAGCUGCCACCAAGAGAAGCCAACAGAAACUGUCCACUUCCAUGCAGCUUGUACAGGGCAGUAAAACAAGUAAACUAAAAUCAUAGUUUGUGUGCAGCUAGCAACCCAAUAGGGGCUAUAAACUAGAACAGGACUAAUAUAUACUAGGGAGAAAUGGUCGUGUUUGACAAGGGUUCAGAGGAGGCCCAGUUGCAGCAGGCGUUGCCAGAGCCUGUGAGAGCCUGUCCUUAAGAAGUAACAUUCCCCUCAAGCAGGUGGAGAAGUAUCAGUGUGACCCUUGGGCCUAACAUUAAUCCUGAGCCGACUGAGUGAGCUCCAUGCGACUGAGCUAAAAUGAGGCCUGAACAUUCACUAUGUUGCUGACGCAUCCAGAUCAGGAUUUAGCUCCCAGGCUAAAUGCCAGUCAAUCACCUGAACAGCCCGUGGCAGCCUGUUCUUCCCCUGUUCUGUUUUGUAAUGGUAUGUUGUGUUCAGAACAUUUGCGUUGGAUUUGAUAGGACUGGAUUAGAAUAAUGUCUGAUUGCAGCUUUCCUCCAAGGAAGAGAGUCCUCCAGCUGGGCUCUCCACGGGUCUUGGGGAGUAAACUCGGAGGAGCGAGCAGCUGUGUUCAGCGAUCCCAUUUGCACACAGGUGAUACAUGGGCUGCACCUAAGGGAAGCAGCCGGCCUCUGAAUAGCUGCCUAUUUGUCUUUUGUUUUUGUUCCACCGUUAUUCUUCUCCUGGGGGAGUAUUACUAAUAGGAUUAAUAAAUGAAAAAGAUAAGUGACUGGAACCCUGAAACAUAGGUUUUCCAGGAGUGCAAUUAAUCACUGGCUUUGGAAGGCUAAGUCAUGUGACGUCAUCUGUCACAUGACCACUUUCCAUGCUGCUAAGAAGGAAGGAAUGCUUUACAGCCAUCUGGGGCUCUUAGGAGUCAUCUCAUUUAGGGGCACAGAUGAAGGAGGAGGUGCUGAUCCUGGGAUUUCAAAUAAAUGCCACCAGUGGCACUUGACACAGGAUCUUCUGGUCUGGCCUGUGGAGAACUGACAAUUGAAGAUACACUUGCUCUUCUGCCGGGAAACUCAAUGCUAAAACUUUUUUGUUUGGGGUUUUCGAGACGGGGUUUCUCUGUGUAGCCCUUGCUGUCCCAGAACGCACUCUGUAGACCAGGCUGACCUUGAACUCAGAGAUCUUCCUGCCUCUGCUUCCCAAGUGCUGGGAUUAGAGAGAAGUGCCACCACAAUAGCUCAUUUCUGAAACUUUAAAGUGAAAUUUCUUGAGAAAGAGAUCUUUUACAAAUUUUUGGAUUGGCUGGAGAGAUGCCAAAACUCUAAGUAGUCAUUUGAAAUUGCGGGGUCAGGAUUUGAAAAGUGUGGGGUUGGAGAGGAAGCAGGUGAUAAUUUAAGAUAAAGGCAGAAGGCCCUUAUGCAACAAUUUUGGGUGAAUGGGGUGUGUUUCCAGCCCUGACUCUUCUGAGGAAGUAUUUACCAGCUGAGUUCAUGUACAUUCUGCAUGUACAUUCUGCUGGAGAAACCCUGUCCUUGCAGCAUCCUGUGGUCUAGCAGAGAUGCUCUGGACGGCAGUUAAGAUCUCAAGUCCUAGCUUUGAGCCCACCAUCUCCAUCACCAUGGAGGCUAUUUAUCAUCUCUGCCCCUCUGUUCCUUAUUGAUCAAAUGAGAAGACAAGUGAUCUGUCUGCAGAGUUGCUCAAUAUUUUAUGAAUGAGUCUAUCUGGGGAUGGAAACUUUAUGAAGGACUCCAUUGCUAAUGCCUCCUUUGGCAUCCCCUGAAGUGUGAAGGAAACAUGCAGUGAUGCCCUUCCUGGGAACCAUUCCUCAUCUAAGAGGGGAACAUGGGGGCCUGGGGAGCUAAGGAAGAUCACCAGGAUCCUGCACUUUUUCCAAGGAGGGCAAGCAGGUGUGCCUUUGCCAGUGGUGCUGGAGGGCUGAGAAAUCCCAGGAGACUGCUAGACAUGCCAGCUACAUACCACUUCUUCUCGUCUCUUCAUCCUUUCUCAUGCCUUUCCUUGUUAACACUCCCCUCAUCACAAAUUUCUGUGUAGAAAAAAAAAUCUCUUUAGGACAGAGGAAUUCUAGAAGGAACUCAUCUUGAGACCCAACCAAGAAACUCAAAUGUUCAAGGUUGUAAGCAAGAGAGGGGAAGCCAGUCCACCUCUUCAGGGUGAGCAGGAGAGGAAGCUAGCCCACCUCUUCACAGUAAGUAGGAAAGGGAAGCCAGACCACUGCUUCAGGGUGGUGGAGAGAGAUAGAUAUAAGGUUGAGGGUGGGCUAAAAGUAGAAGAUUCCAAAGAGGCAUGAUAUCAGCUAUAGGGACCAGAUUUCUCAAGUAGCCCUAAGGUAUGUUUUUUUCAGAGGACCUGAAAAAAGACAUGAAGUCAUGAACACUGACCUGCUGUUGCUGUUGAAGAGGACAAGUGUGGCUGGGGCUGUAUUCCUCCAAAAAGGAGUCAAGUCCCUCAGAACCCACAUAUAUCACAGAAAGAAAUGAGCUCAUAUCCUCCAUCCAUCCGUCUGUUCGUCCAUCUAUCCAUCCAUCUGUCCUUAAAGCUGCUGCUGAGAGUGUGCUGUGUGGCUGUAUCCUCACAGAUCCAACAAGAAGCAAAAGGCUUGAAGCCCCCUGCCUCUAGAGGGUCUAAGUUCUACUGAGAGAGAUGGACAAUUAAAAGACAAUGGACAAGAGAGGAGCAAAUGGUGAAAAGUGUUGGGAGGAAAACAGAGCAGAGCAAAGUGCUAGAACAUAUCGAGAAGGCUGGUUUCUUCCUGGGACAAGAUGUGAUGUCUGAAUCGAUACCGAUGUAAGAUGAGAGAAUAAGCCCUGGACAUCUCUGGAGGAAAACGUAUCCUUGUGCUGUAGGAGCAAACUUCAGGAGACGUGAGGCAAGAGUGUACCUUCUGUGUUCCAAGAUAGCAACAGUGUGGUUCCUGGAGAGGGCAAGAGGGAGGGAAGGUGACAAGGAGGAAGAGGAUGAGGAGAAAGAGAGCGAGAGAUAGACAGAGAGAGACAGACAGAGAGAGACAGAGAGACAGAGAGACAGAGAGACAGAGAGAAGAGAGAAGAGAGACAGAGAGACAGGGACAGAGAUGCUUAGGAAGCAAGUCCUGAGGGCCAUCAGACUAGCCCCUAGACCACAUGAGAUCUUGGGUUCCAUUCCAGAUGUGCUGGCGAGGGCGUGUCCUCUUCCUGCCCAGGAAGUCACUCUGGCUAGUGUGUGGAGAACAAUUAGAGAAAAUGGGUGGGAACUAGAGACGGCUGGUUGUUUAAGUCCUCCAGGCCAGUCCUCCAUGCUCACAUCUUAGAAAUAUUUUGAAGGUGAAGCCACCAGUCCUUGCUCACUGGUGAGUUAUCUCUGGAUUGUGAGAGGAGUAGGGCAUGGCUCCAACGCUGGAACCGGGCAACAGGGCAAAUGCCAGAGCCAUUCAACUGACCCAUUCAUUGAGUCACAGGAGAUUGGAGAAGCAGCAGUUCAGAAGGAGGUGGAGCCAGCAGUCGGACAUGGGAGGGCUAGGGUGACUUAAGCCUCCCAGAUGAGAUGCUAUGCAGCAGGCUGAGGUCCUAGGAUUGUACAAAGAGAUUCCUAAGUGAUAUAAAUGAUCACCCUAGGGGAUAAAGGAGAUUUUAAUUUCUAAGCUUUCUGGAUACACUCAUGUAUAUUAAAAGGUCAAUGUGUCUAUGAUCGGCAUACUCCACUUUGUGAAUGGAUGUCUGGAUAUCUGAGGUAGAGGUAUGUGUAGAGACAGGAUCAAUUCUCUGACUUCUGGCUCCACCCAAACUCCAAAAGUAACUUCCCCGGCACAGAAUCCCUCACUUCAAAGCAAUUCUAACCAGGUAUUCCUGCUGGAGAAGAGCCCAGGACAUAUGCACAGACCCCUGUUCAGACCAUAUGCUCUCCUGACUGUGGGGACAUUUCCAGCUUGUGGUGCCCUCCAUGGUCCCCAGCUUCCUUUAACUGUGGCUUCACCACUCAAAUGGAUGAGCUCUCCUCUGACACCUCUCUUAUGUGCCUAUGGUCACUCAAGCCAUCUUCCUAUUUUUGUCCUGGGCUGUGCCUGUGGCUCCUUCCUAGGCUCUGAAGUCCCCCACCCCACAUCUCCCCAAGACCUGUUAUUUCUUGCCCCUCACGGAGUUUGGCUAGAUCUCAGAGGAAGUACCCUUCAUGAAAAAAAUUUCCACUUAUGCCUGAGAAGACAAUGGUCUUUCCCCAAGAUUUCCAGUGGUGAUCUGUCAGGUGAUAGUAAGUCACAAAAUUCAGAAUCUAUAGAGAUUUCUACUGACCCCAAUGGACAAAAUACAAAGACAGAGACUCUUGGAGUACCUUUUAGUUGUACUUUGAAGCUUCCUUAUAGGAAGAUAGCCUUUCCUCUGUGCAAGCCCAUAGCCCUGACUAUUGAGCCACCUGUGGAGUUCUUCAUCCCUGUCAAUGGUUCUCACCCUAUGGGUUGCAACCCCUUUCGGGAGGGUAAACAAAACUUUCACAGAAGUCACCUAAGACCAUCAGAAAGCACAGGUACUUACAUUACAUUCAUAACAGUUGCAAAAUUACAGUCAUGAAGUAGCAACAAAAAUAACUUUAUAGUUGGGGUCACCACAACAUGAGGAACUGUAUUAUCAAAGGGUCACAGCAUUAGGAAGCUUGAGAACCACUGAUCUCUGAGCUUACAUCAAUUUUAUAUUUGGUCCAAUCAUUCGUGGAGACUUUUCAGUCCUAAACAUUCUAAUGGCCUCCACAGAAUGUUUUGUAACCAUUCCCUACAUCCACAAAAAUGUUUCAGAGAAUAUAUCAGUGAUCUGGUCUGAGUGAAUAGGACCAUGAAGAGUCAACUAGAAGAAAAAAGUCUCAGAAUUAGAGGAAUCUUUUCCGAGUGUGCAAAACACAAGUGGCAAUUCCUAUGUGGCACUAUGUUGACAUCUAGUUGGUGCUCAAAAUUAAAAGGAGCAGACACAAAACUUUAUAAAUCAGGAGAGAGAGAGAGAGAGAGAGAGAGAGAGAGAGAGAGAGAGAGAGAGAGAGACUGGAAUUCCUAAAAAGAAACUUAAAAUGAGGAUGUCCUGAGAAAAUGGACAGAAACAUUUAAUUGAGGUAGUGGUUCCAAGCUGUGUUCAGAGUUAUGCAACAUGGCUUCCAUGUUUUGCAUGCUGAGGCUUACACCUUCAUUGUGCUGGCUGUCCUUAGGGACACUCCCACACUAAUGGAGAUGCAGCCUUGUGAUGGAGUCUUUGUUCCCAUCUUUGGCCACCCUUGGGAGUCUGGGUUUGCUCUGCAAAAGUCUUUGGUUUAAUUUUCAUGACCAAGGGUGACUGACAGCUGGUGAUGGGUGCAACCACAGCCUCUUUUCCUUUUAGUUAUUUCCCAUAGAACAGUUUCCCCCUAUGGGCUGCGUUUCCUUGUUUUCUUUCUCUUUGUUUGUGGGUCAUUCUUCUGUCCAUUAUUUUAUUGUUAUUUUUAAUCAUUUUAUACAUGUAUACAAUUCAUCAUGAUUCUUCCCCCAUUACCCUCUGGCAUGCUCCUAUCUUUCCUUGGGAGCCCCUUUUUCUGUCUACCUAAUUACCCAGUAGCUAUACCAUUAGAGAAAAUGCUACAGUGGCCUUGGAGGAAAGACGAUGGUAUGGAUACCUACUUUGAAGCCGAGGACACCUCAGUCUCUCAUCCUCAGCACUGUGACCAGCUACAAGUCUCUGCAUUAACCACCACUCUCUGCAAAUAGAGUGUCUCUGUAAUCGAUUAAAAUUACUAUUAUCCGGGAGUUAACGGUUGCUGUAAACCCCACAAGAGCUCCAUGAACCAGGAAGCCAUGCUUCCAAUAACACUAAUACUUUCUGGAUUUCUGUCUUAUGCCCCUACAUAGUAAAGCGAGUUGUCAAUUUGGCCUCAGCCCUUAUCGAUCAGUAUUUACUACCUGAUUGAUUGACUUCCUCUCAGACGCUGUCCCUAGAUAUACUACUAAUUAGCUAGUAUCCUUAAGUUAGUCAGAUAUAGUUUUUCUGACUCUCAGUUCCAUUAAAAUGACUUGUGAUUUGUGUGUGUGUGUGUGUGUGCUUUGUUUUGUUUUCAUUUUUUUUUUUGAGACAAGGACUCAUGUAGGCCUGGCUGGCAUGAAACUCAUCAUAUAGCUGAACUCUUAUCCUCUUAACUUCAAUUCACAAGUUCUGGGAUCAUAUCGCCACACCUGGAUACAAUUAACAAUGUUAAUGCUCUCUUCCAGCUUUAAAUUACUAUGAAAUAUCUUUUCCUAUCAUGUUUUUUUGAAACUAGUCGUAGAAGUCCUGAUACCUUUGACUUGAUCAAUACCCUCACUGUCCAUGUACAAAGGCAGUCAAAAAAUAAAUAAAUGUUAGCUUUGCAGAGAAUCAAAGAUGGAGAAGACCUGGAAAUGAUGACUCAGUUCUCCAGCCAAACAACUCAUAUAAAUGGGCUAAUGGUAGCCUUUGAUUGCCCAAGUCAAUUAAUAGUUUUGUUGUGGGAUAUUUGUACAAUAGGUGACGAUGUAUUGUUGUGAUGGGUGUCAUAAAACACUGAAUGGCCAGUAGCUGGGCAGGAGGUAUAGGUGGAACUUCUGGGGAGAGAGAGAACUCUGGGAAGAAGAAACAAGGAGUCACCAACGAGACUCAGAGGAAGCAGGAUGGGCUACUGGGAGAAGAGGUAACACCAUGUGGCAGAAUGUAAACUAAUAUAAAUGGAUUAAUUUAAGUUAUAGGAGCUAGUUGAGAACAAGCCCAAGUUAAGGCCGAGUUUUCCUAACAACUAAGUUUCCAUGUUGUUAUUUAUGAGCUGGUAAUCCAGAUGAGAAAGUACUGCUACAGACUUUAAAGAGACUUGAGAAACAUACUCUCUUGGCUUGUUCAAGAAAAUCCAUGGGAAGGGGAAGCAGAAAUCUAGAAAGUCAAUAGACGAUACUGUCAUUGUUUCUAUUUUCUUUCUCCUAUUUUUAGAAAAUAAGAACCUAAGAGGGGCAGGCGGAUCUCUGUGAGUUCAAGGCCAGCGUGUUCUACAGAUUAAGUUCCAGGACAACCUCCCAAGCUACAGAAAAACCCUGUCUCAAAAAUAUAAAAGAAGAAAAGAAAAAGAAGAAGAAGAAGAAGAAGAAGAAGAAGAAGAAGAAGAAGAAGAAGAAGAAGAAGAAGAAGAAGAAGAAGAAGGAGAAGAAGAACCACCUGAGAGGGGCUUGCUAAACAGGGUCUGAUGGCUUCCUUCGUCACUAAAGAGCCACCCUGGUCCUUUUUCCUCUGCCUUCCUUUCAGCCUCUUUUCUUUCCCUCCCUUCUGAAUCUGUUGCUCUUUCAUCACUUACUGUGGUUUAUGAUAAGAAAAUUCAGCUUACAAAGAUGGCUAAGAAAGGACUCUUGGUGGCAUAGUGAAUAGAUUAACACAAUUCUCUGUUAUGUGAUAUAGAAACACAGGAUGAGACAAAGUGAGGAACUGACGACAGCCUCAAGAAGCUCUUCCCAAUAUACACACAGACACACAGACACGCACACACAAAUAAUAAAUUAUAUUACAAAAAUAACUGGCUGCCAUCCUAGAGGCCUCAUCCAGUGGCUGAUGGAAACAGGCAGACACCCACAGCUAUACACUGAACUGAACUCUGGAACCCAGUUGCCAGGAGGGAGGAAUGAAGAUCAAAGGGGUUGAGACCAGGCUGGUGAAUCCACAGAGACAGCUGGCCUGAACAAGGGGGAGCACAUGGACCCCAGACUGCUGUCUGGGAGGCCAGCACGGGACUGAUCCAGACCCCUGAACAUGCAUGUCAAUGAGGAGGCCUUGGUGCUCUAGGGGGCCUCUGGUAGUGGAUUAGUAUCUUUUCCUGGUGUAAGAAGGGAGUUUGAGAGCCCAUCCCACGUGAAGGGAUGCUCUCUCAGCCUGGACACAUGGGGGAGGGCCUGGGCCAGUCCCAGGAUGAUGUGGUAGAAUUUGGGGAGCCCCUGUGGAGGGCCCUACCCUCCCUGGGGAGCAGAGGGGGGAGGAGGCUGUUGGGGAGUUGGGAGGGAGGGAAGAGAGAGGGAGAAGGGAUUGACGUGUGAAGCAAGUUUGUUCCUAAUUUGAACUAAUAAAAUAAAUAAAUAACUGGCUGCAUAAACAGGAUCAAUAUGGGUGCCCGCCCCCAUUCAAUAGCUUCAACAUCUGCUUCCCAUAGUGUUUCUCAGAUACUCUCCUCCACUCCUUACCCUGCCCCUGCAAAGUUAAACAUGUCCCUAAAUGACAUUGUGCAGUUUCUAAACUUAGCCCUCUUGAGUUCUAUUUGUGUACUUGCAACCUCACUAUUCUGGAACUCUGUCCUGCCCGAGUCCUCAUUGAGCUUAGGCAAAAAGGAGGCGGCCCUUUGUGUGUUUUGUUUAUGAUGUGUGGCUUUACCUGAAUGCCCCUCCGGUGACUUUGGAGUCACAGCAGAAGUCUGCGGAUGUGAGAUGGACAGUAGAUGUCCUUAGGAAACUGAAGAUGUACAUUUCUAAGCCCAGGAGGCCUUCACUCUGGAUUUGCUCAAAUUCUAUUUUUACUUCAUUGAUUUUAGCUGCAGCUGGGACUAUGUUUGCCCAUUCAUUUAGAAAUCCUUCAUUUCCCUUCCUUUCCUUUAUGUUUUUCUCUGCUCUGCCCUUGAAAGUGGAAGUGAAUUAUGACGUGUCUGCUGCUCAGCAUCGAGGCUCUCAGAGCCUUCCUUCCUGGGCACAGACAGAUGUCACAGCACCACUGGCCUGCCCUGGGAGAACCACUAGGAAAUCAGCUUUGCUGAGAAUGCUGGCCCCCAAACAGCACUGUCUGCAAAGAGAAUGCUGGGUUUGGGGGGCCUCUCUCUGGGCUUCACUGUCCCUGGGCUUGGAAUUUUCUGUCCUGAAUGAAUGGUUACCGUAAGAAAUGAAUGAAGGGGCUGGAGAUGGCUCAACACUUAGGAACACUUGCUCUUUUGUAGAUGACACGGGCUCCCAGGAUCGGUUCUCAGCACCCGUAUGUCGGCUCACAGCUGAUGGCUACUCCAGCUCCUUUGGACUCAGGAACCUCUUUGGGCCUCCGUGGGCACCAAGUAUGCACGUGGUGCACACACAGAUACUCGGGCAGAACACAGGAAGUAAAAUAAAGCAAAUAAAUCAACCUUUAAAAAGGUUUUCUGUUGUUGUUGUUGUUGUUUUUGUUGUUUUUAUGAUCAGAUGAGAUGGUGUAUGAAAUGGUUAGUACCGAAGGGGUAGUUGCAAAUUAUACCUCUCCUUCCACUGUCUGCGGAAUCUCUGCAUUACGGCUGGUAAGGAAGCAGGCAAAUGACUUCCCAUAACUGAGAAAUUAUCCGGCUCUCCCAACUUGAUUGUCAUUUAUCCUCAUCCUUGGUCAUGCCUGGAAGCCAGAAAAAAAAAAAAAAAAUCCCCCAAAUCCACGGUGAGCGAGAGAGGAUAUCUAGCCUCUAUUGCAGGCAACCUGAUCCUCAUUGUGUCACUGUCUGUCUGAAUCACCAAUGUUAUAGAGGAUGAAAAGCAGAUAAAACGAAAUUCACACUGAACCAGCAUCGCAAAAGUCAGAACUUCCACCCGACCUGCCUGGACACCAAACAAAGUAGAGCAAUGCUGCCCCCAAGGGUUCGUUCUUUGAAUGACAGCUUUAACUGUGAUUUUUCAUGAACUCCACCAAUCUAAUGGUCAGCACGGCUUCAACCUGAUCCAAGGCCCUUGUCAUGAAAGCAUAGGGGUGAUGGAACCACAUAGCAUAAAUAAAACAUCAAAGUACUGUGCUGGUAGUAGUGUCAAGCAAGACAGUAGGGCACAGUGGCAAAAAUGAAUCCUCUUUAGAGAGAGAGAGAGAGAGAGAGAGAGAGAGAGAGAGAGAGAGAGAGAGAGAGAGAGAACCACCUUUAGUGACGCAGGACAUGUUUUGAAACUGUGGUUUUUGUACUACCCACAUCAGACUCUCUGGAGAGUUCAGUAUAGAUGCAGACUCCUGGUCCCCUACUCAGGGCUCUGCGGGAGGGGAUGGGGAGUCUGUGCUGUUAAUGGGGUGCCUUAGCCCCAGGCAGUUUAAGUUUGGGACCAGAAGUGACCAGAGGCCAGUUGAAUGAGCAGCCAUAAAAAGUCGUUGACUUACUGUAUAAAAUGAGAAAGUGAGAUGAACAGCCAGGAGGAGGAGUGAUCAUGUCUGAAGGAAAGGGGAGGCUUAAGGUGGAAUCUUGAAGAGAAAGAGAGGCUUAAGGUGGUAGGAAAAGACCCUUCCCAAUGACUUAAAGCUGGAGGGGACCAUUAAAACUAUGAAUUAUACCUAGAUGUGGCCAUGUGAUUCCAGCACUUGUGAGUUGUAAGAGUCACCUGACUUCCCAAGUGAACAGACUCCUUGGCCCAAGUGGGCUCCACUCAUCCCCAAAGAAGAUACAGGGGAUGCUGUUCUUGGUGUCUGCUUUCUUCUGAGGCCAGCAAGGUGCCUGGCAGACGACACUCACAUAUCUGAUGACUGCAAUGAAUGCAGGAAAGAGAUGUGCAAAUGUUUAUGUGCCUUCCUUUUAAAAAUUUUUAUGUGCAUUGGCUUAUCAUUAUUGUUGUUGUUAUUCUUAAUGUGCCGUGUGCCUUCCUUCUAAUGGGCUCCCUUUGGCUCCUUCCUUGGAGCAGGCCACAGCACCAUGUGACCUCAGCUCGAUUCCUGUCAAGUGUGACAGGUGAGGAGCCACAGUGGAAUGGGAGCCCCAAGGUGCCCCACACACUGCUCAGGUGGAGUCUUGGUGUCCAGGGUGGACCUGUUGGUGGAUGGGGAAUGGAAAAACAAACACAAUUUUCCAUUGGUGACAUCUGCCUAUUCCUAUCCCCCCAGUGGCCUAUUUCAAGACAUAACGUGGCACCCUGAAUAUCAGUAUUUCAUCUAAACCAUAGAUUGUGUGGACUGAUGUCUUCGGGUGUAGGAUCGGAACCAGCCAAACAACCCUGGGUCCGACACUGAGUGGGCGAGUGUGGGACGAGGGAAAGCUAGCUAUCUAACGACAUUAAAGAAGAGAUGGAGACAUCUGAUCAUAACAGGAGAGCAAUCAGUCAAUACUGAAGGCGCCCAGUUUAUUGAUGCAUCAUCUUAAGUAACCAUCCAAAGGUGGGGGCAAUGGCAGAAGACAUCUGUUAUCAUGUAUAAAGGGCUGACAGCAAUUAUUUUCCUUAAUUCUAAAGACACUCCUUUGCAGCACAUACUCAAGCCUUCAGGCACCCCACACCAGAACAUCUCACCAGCCUUCAGGGUGGGUAUAAACUCGUCCUAGCCCAAGUCUAUUGUUAUUUAGAAAGGAGCCAUUCUCCACUGAGACCAGGAUACCUAGCAGCUAUUAGCUGACAUCUAAAAGACAAUAGAAAUUCUGGGCUCUCCUGAACUCAUGGCAGGGUGGAAUAGAUUUCCAAAAUAUAGGGUCCCCCAACACAUAGAUAAUAGUAGCAUACAAGACAAUCAUUAGGAAGUGAUGUUUUGAGUAUGCCUUGACUGUUUCAAAUAUAGUGUGUUGAAUUUUAAAAUGUAUGAACUUUAAUUUUUAAAGCAAAUCAGACUUUUUGCAAGUUUCCCAUAAUCAGCUCUCAUGAGCCAGUGGGACUAGUUCUGGUAUCCAAUCAUCAUCCUGAGCCAAUAAUUAUUCUGCCAUUAACCUGGGGCUAAAGAUAGAAGCCAUGAGAAGUCUUGGGGAAGAGGCCAUUGAUGGGGCUGAUGAACCCAGCACUCAUUUCUGGGUUCCCAGGCCACCACUGAGUGACAACCGAGCUUUAGUCUUCCUAAGACCUGGCCUUUGCCCUCUUGCUCUUUUUAUUUUUCAGGCCUGCCCUGGCCCCUCUGAGUCCCCUUGGAGCUACAGUACAGCUCACCCAGUACAGCCCUGGCCCCAAGGGAGUGUAUUCACUUAAUGUCUCCCAGAGAGCAGAGAAGGGUGUGUCCAAGGCCUGCCUUCAUGAUGCCAUUACUAGGUUGUCCAGCUUUGGAGUCUCUGGACCUCAGUUUCCACAUCUGUAGGAGAAAGGGCUUGAGACAUAUGAGCCUGAAGUCUCUGCCCAUAUUCCUGUUCCAGCAUUGACACAGCCAGCUCAUCUUCAAGAUCUGGCCUCCCCAUUGUACAAAGGCUCUGAAGGCCUUCUGACUGGCAGAAGAGGCUCUAAUGCGUAGAAAACUUGACUGGGAGCCCAAGUGUCCAUUCAUGGCAGGAGUCCAGCAGCAUGAAUAGGAUAUCCGGAAAUUCCAGAGAUGGGCACAUCUGUGCCAGCAGGCUGGAGCAGCCCUGGGGACCUCAGCCUUGGAAAGUUCCAGCCUUUCCCAUCUCUCAAGGGAGAUGACUGUGGUAUAGGAAGUCAUAGGGGAGAGAGGGUGGUAUAAAUGCUAUUUUAAAUGGCAAAUUUUAUCAUAGGUGAAUUACAUUCCAUCAUAUAAAAGCAAAUGAAUAUUUAACAAAUGGAGAAAAAGAAGAGGCUCUUAGGGAUAGAGAGGGGUGAACGAAUAUUCUAGAAGUCCCUAUACUUAGUCUUAUAGAAAGUUUUCCCUUUGGAAUUAGAACUGUAACAACAUGUUUCUCUAGUGCUUGACCCAACCUAUGAGAUGAUCAGACCUCCAGGGAAACUCAGCCACCCAGUGCUAGCAGAAGAGUAAGACAUGGAGGAUAGAAAGUCUACCCUUGUCCAAAGUGAAGGAAAGUGAGAAAGGAGAGAGGGGGGAUCCCAGUGCCUCUUGCUCUAGGCCUCCCAGGACUUCCUUUCCACAGGACACCGCUCCUGGUUUCUGAGGUAGUGCCUGGCAGGGAGGGCUCUGGGCCCCUUCCUCCAGUAACCCAUAGCCACUGUGGAAAAAUCCCCUUUCCCUUUUGUUGAGCUGGGGCUGAGAUGGAAGUUUCCAUGGGGAUUUUUCCUCAGAACCAAAGGUGGGUAGCAAAUCAGCACAAGGUCAUUAGAAAAUUCCCUGUUCUAGAAGAGUGUAGAUUUCCAUGGUGGUGGAAGCACAGAGCCAAGUUAAAGGGAAGGCCUAGUGGGGUCCCAGUUAAUGAUGACCCCUCCUAUGUCUUUCCCCUGACACUUUUGGGCCGGGGAAAGAAUCCAGCCCUAGACCUUCCCUCCCAGUCUUGAAAGGCUCUUUUCUGGAGGGUGUUGGCACAGCCUUUGCUGUGGUUACUAGCCAAAUGGGUUUUAGAAUCACAGAGGGACAGAUCUGGCUAACAUCAUGGCUAUCUUUGAUCCAACUCAUCCCGCCUGUCCAUUUUCCUUCCAAUGAAGACAUUUAGAGUUUCUUGUGCCCAUGGUAGGCAUUUGUGUGUGGCCUCUUGGUUGGCCUAGGCACAAGGCAUCUUAGAAACCAUACUGGACAAGCCUUCCCAUGGCUUUUCAUGGACUGGGGCUUCUGAGCAGACUCUCUUGGGUCAGAGGGUCAGGCCUGCUCAUCACUUGGCCAACUGAGCAGAAUCCAAGCUUUGAAAAGCCAUGGGAAGGCUUGUCCAGUCUGGUUUCUAAGCAGAAAUCUGGUUGGGGCUUCUGAGAAGACUCUCUUGGGUCAGAGGAUCAGGCCUGCUCAUCACUUGGCCAACUGAGCAGAAUCCAGGCUUCUGGGAGGCAAGUCAAGGUAGCCCAUAGCUUCUUGUCUUUGUGUGCUCACUGGCAUCCUUGGUGUCAGCUGAUGUGUUUUAGGUGUGACCUAGGAUUCUCAAAGCUAGCUGACUCUAAAGGAGUCAGCAGAAAUCCCAGAAGACCACCCUGAGGCCUCAGUUUUUAUCAGGUUGAAAUUAUAGAACAACUAAGACUUUAUGUACAUUACAACCUCAGGCCUCUGAGUCUAGACCUGUUCAGCUUACAGGAGAGGAUCUGGUUUUUCAUGGAGUUUCCCAGUUCCACACAAAUCUCAUUUGCCCUGUUACUCUGAUAAUCAUGACUCAGUCCUGGAAGUCACUUGCUUACUGCAGUUCUCAAGCCUCAGCAGCCGUGGGCCCAACGAGGUACCAUAGUCACCAAGGCUUCUGCCCAAAGGUGUCAGGACAAACCUCAUAGGUCUUCUGGGCAACACUAGUUGGAACACCAUGGAAACAUGGUGAGUGUGUUCACUUCUGUGAAACUCCUAGCCAGGGGCUCAAUGACCAAUUCUCUCUCUCUCUCCCUCUCUCUCCCUCUCUCUCUCUCUCUCUGUCUCUCUCUCUCUCUGUCUCUCUGUCUCUGUCUCUGUCUCUCUCUCUCUCUCUCUCUCUCUCUCUCUCUCUCUCUCACGCACACACACACACACACACACACACACACCAUUUUUUUUUUCAGUAUUGGUGUUCCAGAAAACUGGGCCCAAGCUAUUGAAUGUCCCCUGUACCCUUGGUUGGGUUGAGCCCAGUAGGCCAAACACAAUCUUCCUUACCUCAGAAAAUGCCUUAUGGUUUCUUCUAGAUCCCUUUUCUUAACUCGACUCUCUUAUCUAAGAGUCUCCAAGACCUCUUUUUCCCCUCAUUCUUGAACUAUAGUGGGGGUUAGAUUUGGAUCCCUAUUUCCCUUGGCAUUGCUUGGGUUUUGUGGGGUUUCCUUUUUCUCCCUCAUCCAUUUGGUGGAUCCAAAUAGAUCCUUAAGACAGGAACAGGGCUCAGCCGAAGAGAUGGUAGCACCCAGGUCUCCUCAGAGACAGGUGAGGAGUAAGGCCCAGCAGAGGCUGCUCCUGGCUCAGGCAUCUCAGUGUCUUCAGAGCAGGGCUAGGGACAGAGUCAAGGGCAGUGAGGUUUGUCUUUCCCCAGCAGUGCCUGGCCCUACUCAGAUGUCCUCAUUCUUCAGUGAGAUAGCCCAUUGCCUACUUUGUUCUUGCUUCUUUGGUUAUUAAAAUUGCUUGAGACUGGUUUAAGAUGGACUGUUUAAAAAAAAAAAAAGAUGAGUGGGACGUUGAUGGUGCACGCCUUUAAUCCCAGGACUCAGGAGGCAGAAGCAGGCAGAUCUCUGUGAGUUCGAGGCCAGCCUGGUCUCCAGAGGGAGUGCCAGGAUAGGCUCCAAAGCUACACAGAGAAACCCUGUCUCGGGGAAAAAAAAAAAAAAGAUGGAACUGUUCAUGACAAACAAAAGAAGCAAAAAAUGGAGGUUGUCUGACCCUCAUAGACCAUAGAGCUAUAAGAAUGUCUUUUGGGGGCUGGAGAGAUGGCUCAGAGGUUAAGAGCACCGACUGCUCUUCCAGAGGUCCUGAGUUCAAUUCCCAGCAACCACUUGGUGGCUCACAACCAUCCGUUAUGAGAUUUGGUGCCCUCUUCUGAUGUGCAGAUAUACAUGGAAGCAGAAUGUUGUAUAUAUAAUAAAUAAAAAUCUUUAAAAAAAAAAAAAAGAAUGUUUUUUGGAGACACCCUUUCUAGAAUCUUUCAAACUACAGGCCUUUUAUAGAUGCUGACACUGGAGUACAGAGAGGUUAAAUCACUUCCCCAAGGCUCUACCAGAAAGUGGUAGCCUAAGAUUCCACCAGGAGUGUGACCUACAGUCCACGUGCACCUCACUGCUAUUGCUGUCAAAGAACAAUAUCCCAAAGCGUAGGCUCCAGAAUCAGGCUCAGAAGGGAAGUUUCUCUCUAGUGUCACCAGACCUCUCAUGCCUACGAGGUGAAUCACAGAAACCAGAAUUCUUUCUGUAAGCCCCUCUCCUGAGGACCUCCAACCACAGGUUCUACCCAGAGAACACUCUGCCAGCCAUAACUUCAGCCCCCUAACCCCCACCUCAAGUCCCAGGCAGCCAAGCUGCACCCUAUAGAGUAAAAAGCCCAAGAUCAGGCUACAAAAUCCCACCAAUCCCAGGCCACCUUGGAAAGCUCCACCCAAUCACCAUCCACAAGAAACCCUAUAUGAAGCCUACCUACAGCUCAGUUCUUUUCUGAUUCUCACUGGAGAGAGGAAGCCAACUUCCUGUGUGGUUUUUUUUUCCCCCAAUAAAUCUCUUGUGUGAGGUUUGUUGUGUGAUGUGACUUAGUGGUAUUCCUUGGCUCCCAACUGCCAAGAUUUUGUCUCUGCUCAAUGAUCUCUUUCACACGCUGAUCUCACAGCCUGAGCUUACAGCCCACCUUCUCAGAACUCCCUUCAUUUUCUACUGCAAGUUUGGCCUUAGCUGUGAAGGAUUUGAGAUUUCUAAAAGAAAAUGGCUCAGUAAGCAUACAUGCUGCCUUUGUAGAGGACCCAAGUUUAUCUCUCAUCACCUACAUCAGAAGGCUCACAACUGCAGGUAACGCCAGCUCCAGGGAAUCCAGUGCCUUCUCCUAGAUUCUGUGGGUACCUGCACUCACAAAUGCGCAGACCCGCAAGCAUACAUACACGCAUACUUAAAUAAAAUGAAUCUUUUUUAUGGUACUGUGAGCUAUUAAGUGGAAAUGAUAUGAUUAAAAGAGCCAGCACAACAGAGAAGGGUCCCAGAGACCCUUCAGCAGGACAGCCUAGCCGUCCAUCUGGGGGGGGGGGAGCCACGGGAGGAUGCCUAGAGGACAGAGAAGUCAUUCAGUUGACAGAGAGACAGUGUGGGAGGCAAGGUGGCCAGCAGGAUUGCGGGCUUCUCAGCUGGGCAAACAGCAGUGUCAGGAGUCAGUCGUGGCCGAGGAAGGGGAAUCUACUGGUGUGAUUCGCCCUUGACCCCAGGUUCAAUUUCUGCCUUGAAGGACAUGGAGCACAUCUUCCAAAUAUGCCCCCUCUCCAUGACACCUUGGUCAGAAUGAGAGGCAUCAGGCAUGCUUGCUAAAGGUAUCAAUUCCCAUUGCCGCUCAGAAUCUCAAGGAAUAAAAAGUGAAGCCCAGGAAUUAGGAAGAUCCUUGGUAUUAGAUAUUCGUGAGUCUUUUCUUCUGCUGUUUUCUCCUCUUCACUUUGAUGCUGGGAACAUGGGGGGCAGGGGACAGAGUUAGAGAGAAGAUAAUGUUUGGUUUUAGAGGUGCCUGCAGAUCUGUCAUAGGCAAUUUGAUGUGAAAAGCUAGAGCUUGAAAAGCUGUUUGGGCUGGGCAGACAGAACUGUGAGAAAGUACGUAGGGGGAUAAUUUGUAAUUGUAUGCAAUUUUUCUUUUGUCUUCUUCAGUAUAUGACCUUUACACACAGGCUGCCCUAGAAGCCAAAUGUCUGGGAAGAGAUUGGGGCUUGUUACAGGAGAAUUGCUUAGUAAAAGGCCAAGUUGAUAUUCCCUUUUGACAUUUAAAAAUGAGUGGAGCAAUACUCUUCAGGCUGAGAUACUAUCCUGAGAGAUAAUUCGCUAAACUCCUUUGCCUUUCUGUUCCUCUAUUGCUGAAGAAAAACAAGGCCCUCUACUGUCUCUAAAGCUGAAGUGAGAACUAGCAGAGGGUAAUCAUGGCCCAAGGGAUGUCAAUGUGAAAACACUAUUCAAAGGGGAUAAGAGAUAGUUUAUUCUGGAGUCAAAUAAGAGUGACCAAACCUCAGAGCACAGAUGUAAGAUACAUAUUCAACGUUCCAGUGUGGUUAACACUUUAAUAAAGCCUUUAUGGUAACAGAACAACAAAAAAAAAGUCUUAACUUAAGGUACUUUUCAAAUACCCUGGUGGAAACACUGGAGGAGUAGGCUAAAGCAAAUGGGGAGGAAAUGUCUGCUAUGGGCCUCAGACGCUGUCUGAUUUCACUCUUAGCCUUUUGGCUGGUGGAAGCGUUCCAAAAAGUUGUAGCUGUUGGUUAUCUGUUGGUCUCAAGGAUGUUGGGGUAGACACAAGGUGGCUACUAUAGCAGCUAAGGGCAGCCCCGAGAUAAUCUGUGAUGGCAUUCUGGACCUACAGCAUUCCGUCCUCUCCCACAGUCCCUGAGUCAGUUAAUUAACUUUGUAGAAGAUUCCAUGGAAGGUAGGGGUCUUUUUAGGAACUUUCAUUCCCAGGGAACUAGAAUACGGCCAGGCCCCUUUAAGACAGAAAGGGAAAUUGGGAGGAUGAAAUAGGAGGCAGAGAAUUCUUCUGUUAGUGACACUCAAGAUGGGGCUCCAUCAUCUAAGAGCCUCACUUAGCCACAAAGGCCUGGCUUAGCCCAGGCUAGACAGAUAUAGGUUCAAGGACGAGGUCUAUAAAAUGAUACAGUGAAGAGGCCGAGAAAUCCCUUCAGUCUGAAGAGUAAGGAGACCUCCAGAGGGCUCAUCUAUGAUCCUCAAGGCCAGGGGUCUCUUCCAAGGGAGCCAAGCUUUGCCAUCUGAAAAGGCUGAACAUUUGAAUCUAAGAAAGACCCGGCUAUCUAAGGAACUGUCCAUGUUAUCCAACCUGAAUAAACUCUACAAAAUAUAGGCUUUAUUUAAUUUAAAUUUAAUACAUAUUGAUGUUUUGUUUGCAUGCAUGUCUGGGUACCACAUGCAUGCCUGAUGCCCACAGCUCUGAUAAGGGCAUUAGAUCCCCCGGAGCCAUAGUAACAGAUGGUUGUGAGUCACCAUGUAGGUGAUGGGAAUUGAACCCAGGUCCUCUAAAAGAGCAGCCAACGUUCUUAACUGUGGAGCCAUGUCUCCAGCUCCCUUAUGUAAAAUUUUACUUCAAAUAUUAUUUAUGUGAGGUGUAGCCCUUUGAAUUUCAUGGAGGAUCUGCCUUGGUAAGAGUAGAAGAUGUAGGGGGAUUUUGACUUAGCUAGGAAAUAUGGGGGGACAGGGGCAAAACUCAAGGAGCAGGAGAUUCAGGAGAGAGACUGGAGAUGUGGUUCAGGAAGCCAGGAGAGAAGCAACAAUAACAAAUCUCCUGUUACAGGAGAAAGGGGAGAUAAAGAUGGAACAAGAACCAUUUGAUUGACAAUUAGGGGCCUGGGCUCAUCUUGCCCUACCUUUCAUAAAUGGAUGGGAUGUAACUGGUGCAGAAGAUUAAACACUGUCAUCCUGAAGUAAGAACAAUGGAUCUUUAUAAAUGAAGGUUAAAGGGAAGCUAGGGUCACCCUAGGCCUAAUUCCUGAAGCUUUAUCAGCGUAAUUUCUUGUUGAUACAAUUUUAUUAAUAUAUUUCUACUCAUUGACCAAAAAAUUAUGUUCAAAACAGUGACAAAUUUUAAAAAAAAUAACACAUUCAUUUUCCACAGCCUUACCUCUAAUACUUUUGUGAUCUUUAUGUGGCUGUAAUUGAUACAUAUUGCAUUAUACUUCAUUUUCUGAAAAUGGCCACAAGCCUGUCCUGGCAUGCUCUUCUGGGAGCCUGUCACUCUUUAUCAUACAGUGCUUUCCUCUCACCUAGCCACCAGAUGGAGCUAGGUGGUUUUCCAUGAAGAGAGGUGACAGUAAGUCUGUGUAAUUGUCAAGAUUGGGUUACACAGCUUAGUCAGUUUCUGCCUGGCUUUCUUGGAGGCUUCUGUCCUUGGAGUCCAGCCCUGAUGUCCUGAGAAAGCCCUAGCCAUUUAUAGUCCCUCAGCCAAUAGUUAGUCAAGGUCUCAGCUGAGACCAGUGUCACAAACAGGUGAGGGAACAGGCCCCUAAUGAAGCUUCCAGUGGUUCUGGCCUAGUGAAGUGCGGCUUCACAGUCCCAGACAAGUCUAUUGAACUGUUUUAUUCUGCUGGAAUUCCUGACCUGCAGUAAAUGGCCUUUUCAUGCCACCAAGUUUUAAGACAAUUUCGUAAACAGCCAUAGUAAGCUGGAGCACACACAGGGCUUUGUUUUCGUAACUUUUGCAUUGAUUAGUAUAAACAUUUUCUCGUGUUGCUGGAUAGUCAUCAUAAUUUCUCAAUUGGGUAACAAAAUAUUUUGAGUUGAUGCAGUGUGUUUAUUUAAAUAUCGUGCUAUUCUUGGCUAUUUAGAAGGCUUCUCAUCUCUCACUAUUUAACUGCUGAUAUAAAAAAAAAAGUUGUGUGUAGAGAUGUUUCUCUUUUACUGGAUUGCUUCACUGGGACACAUUCCCAGAAGUAGAAUUACAUUUGGGUAUGAACAUUUGCAUGGCAUCCCAAAUGGAGCACCAAUUACUUAUCAAAUACACCAAUAGAUUCUGCCAUCCAUUACGCUUGGCAAUAUCAAUACAUCAAAUCAUUCCAAUUUGUUUUGCAUUGAAGUAGAGCAUGUGCACACACACAAAUAUAACCAAAUUAGCACCACACCUCUACAAUAUUGUCUACAAUGUGUUAGACAUCCUCAUCAAUGUUGCUAACUUAAUCAACAGAAAUUGCAUUUUAUCAUUGCUUAGAAAGGAGAUUUUUCUAGAAAUUGCUUCCCACCCUAUCUGAAGAGUGUCUACAUUUAUUCUCUAUCUAAUAAUGUAUUUUUCAGAGCACUUUAAAAUCAUUGCUUUUAGCCAGACAUGGUGGCACAUGCCUUUAAUACCAGUACUUAGUAGUUAGAGGCAGGGAGGUCUCUUUGGGUUCAAGGCUAGCCUGGUCUACAAAGUGAGACCCAGUCUGAAACAAACAAACAAGCAAAUAAAUAAAUAAAUGGUUUUUUUUAAGAGCUGCAAAGUCACAAUCAAUUAAUAGACUAUGCAAAUGCAUUACUGUGGUGAACAUGUCUCCCUUCUAAUUAGUAGACUAUGAAAUGAAUUAAGUGCUUCCCAACCAGUAUUACAAAGAAAAUUGAUAUAGAAUGGCCUGGAAAUACCAGAGCCUUUUGCACUCAGUAAGGUAGUGGUGUGUGUGUGUGUGUGUGUGUGUGUGUGUGUGUGUGUGUGUGUGUGUGGUGUCUGAGCCUGGAGAGCUGCUUCUUCAGUUAAGAGUACUUGCUGUUCUUCCAGAGGACCUGAGUUCAGUUCCCAGCACCCACACUGGACAGCUCACAACUGCCUGCAUCUCCAGCUUCAGGGGACAGGAGUAUGCUGGUCUCCAUGGGCACCCACAUUCACAGGCAUAAACUGACAUGCAAAAUCACACACACACAUGUAACUAAAAAUAGUAAAAAUAAAACUUUUUAAAAAAUAAAAAUAUUGCCAGGCGUUGGUGGCAUAUGCCUUUAAUCCCAGCACUCGGGAGGCAGAGGCAGGCGGAUCUCUGUGAGUUCAAGGCCAGCCUGGUCUCCAGAGUGAGUUCCAGGAUAGGCUCCAAAGCUACACAGAGAAACCCCCGUCUCGCAAAACCAAUAUAUAUAUUCUUUGGGUGGGGAAAUGUUUCAAGACACGGUUUCUCUGUGUAAUAGCCCUGGCUGUCCUGGAACUCACUGUGUAGAUCAGACUGGCUUUGAAUUCAUAGAGAUCCAACUGCCUCUGCCUCCCAAGGGCUGGGAUUAAAGACAUGUGCCACCACUGCCUGGCUAGGAAAAAAUUCUUAGUGCAACAAAACUAUUUAAAAAAAAUCAGCCUUGGGCUGGCAAGAUGGUUCCAUGGGUAAAGGCACUUGACACUAAACUUGACAACCUGAGUUCAAUCCCUGGGACCCUCAUGGUGGAAGGAGAGACCUGGUUCUUGCAAAUUGUACAUGCACACACUAAAAGUUAUGAAAGAUUUAAAAUAUCAGCUCUAUAACUCUUAAUUAUUACCCUCUUUUUAUUUUUUUUAAAUUAUAAUUGGCAUUUUAUUUUUCCAAGAUAUCUUUCCUUCUCUCCUUGGGAAGCCACCUCUUUACAUGGGCUUUGGAGAGGUUGUGGUGAUCUAGCUCGGGCAGGUCUAGAUCAUGGUGGGGUGUUCAGUCCUUCCGGGUUUCUCUGGGUCAACUCCUGACCGGUCACCUUGCCAUGAAUAGCACAGCUCACCCAGUGAUGCAGCUUGAGAUAGAGUCUGGGAAGUACGGAAGUGUCAGAUACAUUUGCUUCGGAUUGUGUCCCUGAUGGCAGUGGCCUUCACAAUGUUCCGAAUGGCAAACUUGUAAAUGGCCUUGUCCUUGGGCGCCCACAGGGCACGGUGUGUGCAGUGAUUAGCUGCACAUGGCUGCGACCCCUUUGCACUAACGUCAUUACUUUUUUUUUUUUUUUUUUUUGUCAUCUUAGAGCCAAGACCCAAAAUACCCUCUUUCCCACUUUGAUGUAAACAUUUCCCAGCCUGUGACUUCCCUUUUUCUAUUGAAUGAUCUCUCUUUUGCACUGCUCCAAUUUUUCAUGAAGCAAACCUAGCCAUCCCUUCUAAUGUCUUAUUUCCGUUGAAAACAGAAAUUCAUCUAGUUUCUACCAAGGUGAUAAAUGAUCCAUCCUAUGUUUUGUCAACUCAGUCCUCUCAACAUUCUCUCAGUACCCCUUGAACUAGAAAUUUGCAUCAACUCAGCAAAAUGCAAACGAAGAGCUCUGCCACAAAUUUUAUUAUGGAGCCAGUGAAUGGAGCCCGUGAGGAUGGUGAGAACGCGUGUCCCACGCCACACUUCCAGUCAUCAGUUUCUGUGGCAUCAGCAAAAUGGUUGGUGGUGCAAAUCCUAAGUAAGCAAAUAUUGCAAUAACCCAGAGAUGACGACAGCAAAAGCUGGGGAGGAAGCCAGGUUGUAAAUCUCAGGACCCAUAGAAACACUCAGAAUUAAGACAUGAGAGUUGAGUUCUGGGACAAAAUUAUCAUAGCAGAGAGUGAUAGUGACUAUUGAACAAUUUUUGUUUAUCGAAGAGAAGUUCAUUUUUCCUAUCUGCCAUCUAUGGGGUCUGCCAUUAUUCUCAUUUUGUAGAUGAGAAACUCGAAGGGCAAAGGCUCUGUGGCUCGUCCAAGGUCAACAAGCUCAUCGGUGUCUGAAAUUUGAAUCUAAGCCUAUGCUGUUCGUUACUGGUCCCUGUGCCUCUCCCAUGGGAACCAAGGGCAGCUGAAGGAAGAGGGCAGAUUCCUGGAGGCAGAGUUGCUUACAACGUCGUGCUCUUAAGGGGAUAUUUGGAUUGCUCUGUGGGAACCUUCCACUGUGUCAUCUGGAAUGAAGACAGUCCCUACUGAGGUGAAGACUGGGGAUUUGUAUUCCAUCAGUGAUUCUCCUGGAUUCCAUUCAGAACACGACAAUUCAAAGAGAUGGCGGCUCAGGUCUGCAGCUGGGCAGUAUGGUCUCUUUCUCACUUGUGACAAGGAGACAAUCCUACUUUUGGCCUCCUGGGGUCGUUGUGAGACACAACCUGGCCCACAGCGAGUGGUAUUCCAGUACUUGUCAUCCUAUACUAUGGUCAUUUCUUCUGAACUGUUAUGUUUCCAACCUAGAUCUGUUCCCGUGCUUGGAUUCUAGGUGACUGUCUAGUGCAAAAGUUGUGUAUUUAAAUGGGGGUAAGGUUUAAUUUUAGUCCUUAUAGGUCGCCUAUGACCUCCUGGUAUUUUAUAUGUGCUUCUUCAUUUUGGAAUGCAUGGCAGCUGAGUGGAUGGCCAGAGGUCCCUGUUUACUCCUGCUAUGCCAGCACAAUUAUUGUUAGUGCCCUCCUUUCGUAGUUCAAAAUGCCCUUGCUGCAAAGAUAAGCCAUGUGGCCAGUCUAUUUGGAGAGCGACCCUCCCUAUGGUUACUGCUACAUUAUGGGAGUUUGGCCAGAGGCCCACAGCUUCCUAGGACAGUGGCUUUGAUAUUGUUUUUAUGUGAGGGCUCUCUUUUAAUCAUCCAAGGAAUCCUAUGGAGACUGUCUAAGAAUAAUUUUUGUUGUUGUUUGGUUUUUUGUGAUAGGGUUUCUCUGCAUAGGCCUGGCUGUCCUGGGACUUGAUAUGCAGACCAGGACAGCCUCGAAAGUCACAGAGAAACCCUGUCUUGAAAAACCAAAACCCAAAAAAGCAAAACCAAACAAACAAACAAACAAACAAAAACAAAGCCAAACAAGAAUCAGAACCUCUUUUCAAAUGAGAUGGUGUGUAAUUAAACAAAGUAAUCAAGAAGGACUUUAGGUCUAGUUGAGGUAGGGAUGGGAGGGGAAGAAAAAACCCACAUUCCAUUUUCCUUACUGCCCCCUCCUCCAGUCCAGAAAGGGAACCUCAGGCUUCCUUGUGGUUCCCCAUUGGAAGAUGAAAGUGUGGUCUGUAGUCCAGACAGUACACAGCUGACCAUUGGAAGUGUCCAAAAUGGUGUCCAGACUAACAGCAGUGCAGGCAACUGUCUUAGUUUCUUUCCCUGUUGCUGUGACAAAUACUCCAACUUAAGGAAGAAAUGGUUCAUUAUAGCUCACCGUUCUGGGUUACAGCUUAUCAUGGUGGAACAGGGUCUUGAAGCAGCUGGCCCCAUUGUGUCCACAGUCAGAAGGGACCAGUGAAUGCUUGUAUGCUUGCCACUUGCUCUGCUCAGCCUCUCUACACUUUUACAGCCCAGGAUCCCCGGCAGGGAAUGGUACUACCCACAGUGGUCAGGUCUUCCCACAUCACUUAAUAAACAAGGCAACACCCCACACACAUACCAGAAGCCUAUCUCCUCCUGUAGCAGUGACCUAUGGAAAAAGAAUGCUGUGCUAAAGCCCAUAGACUAAGCUCUAGUCUUAACUGUAACCACUCAGAUCAGCUGGCUGCCCUUCACAUAGUCAUUUAACCUCUCUCCUCUACAGAGCCUUGGACCAUUGAGAAUCUUUACUAAGACCAGUGUUCCGGUCCAAACCUACUGAGCCAUGCUAACUGGGAGGGAAGUCGCCUAUUUCUCUUGGGUGCCCAGGUCCAGGCCAAUAAGCCAAAGGCCCAUAUGGACUACACAGUGAAGUGGGCUUGCAGCCACCCUCUGCUCUGGACAUCCACUCCAUUUCUGACCUCACUCUAUACUCCUGCCCCACCUCUCCACUGUACUAAACUCUACAAGUCCCUGUGCCUCUCCUAGGGGAACCAAGGACAGAUGAAGGUCUAUUCUAUUCCUGUGGUCAAGGUCCCAUUCUUUAAUCCUUUUUGACUUGUACUCCAAAUUCAUCAAAACUUAUCUGACCCCUGGGCGGGGCCCCAAGGUUGGCCUUCCCUUCCCUGAGUUCCAGCUACCUGCAAGAUUGGGGCCCUGAUAGUUCAAAAUCUGUUGCUUCAUCUCUGACUGCCUCUCUCACAUCCUCAUACCAUUGGAAUGACUUCUACCUUAUGGAAAAUUAUGCUUGUCAUUCCUGAAUGAGCAAACUAGGAAGAGUCAGAGAGAAAAAACGGUUUAAAAAGAAAAUUCUGUUAAAAGGACUUGCUUGCUUUCUUCGGUUUAGUCACGUGCAACUGACCACUCCAAGUUUUCUAUGUCAAGAGUUAAGAAAACAGCAAUCCUCAUAAUAAUGAGGUUCGGAGUGUUUCAGGGAAAGGCCACGGGAUCAGGAGGUGGCACUGUUGACAAGCUGUAGGAUCUUCAGCAUAUCAUUGAGUUUUCCCUGAUUAAGUUCAUCUGUAAAGUGAGACUCAUGAUACAUAAAUCUCACAAGACUUGUGUAAGGACAAACAAAAUGGACCAAAAGCAAGUUUUUAUUAUUAAAAUGGGCUGUGGAUCUGAACAUAGAAUUCUGAAAAGAAGAAAUAAAAAUAGACAAGAAAUAAAUUUGAAAGUGUUCAGCAUCUUUCGGAAUUAGGAAAAUCCAGAUUAAAAUGCUUUGAGGUUUCAUCUGACUCCAGUGAGAAUGGCUAGGAUCAAGAACACAACAAACAAACUCGGGCGACUGUGUCAGGAAAGGGAAACCCUCGCUCACUGUUAGUGGGAUUGCAAACAGGUCCAGCCUCUAUUGAAAACCGUGUGGAGAAUUCUCAAAAAGCUAAACAUAGAUCUACUAUAUGACCCCGUUAUACCACUGCUUGGCAUAAAACCAAAGGGUUGGUCAUCCUACUACAGAGACACUUGCUCAGCCAUCUUCAUUGCCACUCUGUUCACAGGAGCUAGGAAAUGGAAACAACUUAAAUGGCAUUCAACUAAUAGACUAUGAAAAUCUGGUACAUAUAUGCAAUGGGAUUCUAUUUAUUGGAAAAGAAAAAUGAAAUGAUGAGAUUUGCAGGUACAUGGAUGGUACCAGAGAAUACUGUACUGAGUAAGGUAACCCUCAUCCCGCCCCCAGAAAGAAACACCAUAUGUUCUCUCUUCUUUGGUUUGAUGUAGCCUGAAGUAAUUGAGGCAGACAGAAAAAUAGAAAAGGAUGGUGUGGGUAAAGGGAGAGUGAGUUCUAGAGAGGGGCAUAGUAGGACGGGAGUUGCCUUGAAGGCGGCAGGAUGGGAAAAAUGAGGAGAGGUGUAACAAUAAGUCUUUACUACAACCUCCCAAGCCCUGCUGCCACAUGGGCUUUCUGCCAGGGCACCCGAGUUCUGCUCAAGUUCUGCCCGCCGCCACAUUACAUUAAGAUCCCAAGUAACGCACAGAGACUUAUAAUAGGUGCAAUGCUGCUGGCCAAUCCCUAGGAUUUCUUACUUGCUAGCUCAGUCUUAAUUAUCAUCCAUAAUCAUAAGACUUAUCUUAUGGAGGAUGCCUUUCACUGGCAUCUUCUUCCCUGGUCACAUGGCGAUUGCAGAGCAGAGAGCAG